GUGCCAGCAGCCGCGGUAAUUCCAGCUCCAAUAGCGUAUAUUAAAGUUGUUGUGGUUAAAAAGCUCGUAGUUGAACCUUGGGCCUGGCUGGCCGGUCCGCCUCACCGCGUGCACUGGUCCGGCCGGGCCUUUCCCUCUGUGGAACCCCAUACCCUUCACUGGGCGAGGCGGGGAAACAGGACAUUUACUUUGAAAAAAUUAGAGUGCUCCAGGCAGGCCUAUGCUCGAAUACAUUAGCAUGGAAUAAUAAAAUAGGACGCGCGGUUCUAUUUUGUUGGUUUAUAGGACCGCCGUAAUGGUUAAUAGGGACAGUCGGGGGCAUCAGUAUUCAACUGUCAGAGGUGAAAUUCUUGGAUCAGUUGAAGACUAACUACUGCGAAAGCAUUUGCCAAGGAUGUUUUCAUUAAUCAGGAACGAAAGUUAGGGGAUCGAAGACGAUCAGAUACCGUCGUAGUCUUAACCAUAAACUAUGCCGACUAGGGAUCGGACGGUGUUAUUCAUGACCCGUUCGGCACCUUACGAGAAAUCAAAGUGCUUGGGCUCCAGGGGGAGUAUGGUCGCAAGGCUGAAACUUAAAGAAAUUGACGGAAGGGCACCACCAGGGGUGGAGCCUGCGCUUUAUUUGACUCAACACGGGAAACUCACCAGGUCCAGACACAAUAAGGAUUGACAGAUUGAGAGCUCUUUCUUGAUUUUGUGGGUGGUGCUGCAUGGCCGUUCUUAGUGGUGGGUGACUUGUCUGCUUAAUUGCGAUAACGACGAGACCUUAACCUGCUAAAUAGGCCCGCAUUGCUCGGC
RNAcentral lists this ribosomal RNA (798 nucleotides) under uncultured fungus. RNAcentral describes it as "SSU rRNA". It matches the Rfam family "Eukaryotic small subunit ribosomal RNA", at positions 564 to 1374 of the family's 1831-position model. The record is from RNAcentral. Lineage: Eukaryota; Fungi.